This 2057-nucleotide long non-coding RNA is filed under the name Nicotiana tabacum (common tobacco). RNAcentral describes it as "long non-coding RNA (NTAB_LNC014809)". The record is from RNAcentral. Lineage: Eukaryota; Viridiplantae; Streptophyta; Magnoliopsida; Solanales; Solanaceae.
CUGCCUCUAUUUCCCUCCUCUGAUGAACCCUAAUCCCGCCGCCUCACUAAAAUCCCUCCCAAUCCCGUUCCUAAUGGGAUUCUUUCCCCAUUCACUUACCAUUUCGAUGUUUUUCCCUUAUUUGGUGCUAUGUUACGGAGUAAAUUAAGUACUUGCCUAAACAUGGCAAGUACCCAACUUUGAUUCUGUCCUAAUCGAUUUUUACCUCUUGAAUCUGGACGACCUUAAGUCCAAACGCGUUAUUUUGUACCGUAUGAGCCCUAUUCGCUCGUAUCUUGCUGAUUCCCUAAGGUUAGGGUUUCAAAUUCUCUUUUUAUUCGAACCAAAACUGGUUCAAGCUUUAAUUUUUAGCAUUAUUUCGUCAUUAUUCACCCUAUUAUAUGUGAAUCUGCCUAUUUUUGCCGAUUUCUUUUACUUACCCAAAUUAGGGUUUCAGAUCUUCUUUAAUUUAACCAAAUCUGGUUCGAUUCUGUGUUUCUUUUUGAAUAAUGUCCUGUCUAUGUUCAUUUUAUGCUAAUAUGUGAUUCUUUGUCUUAUUUUCUGCCGAUUUUGUGGUUUACCUACAAUUAGGGUUUCAGACCCUUUUUACUUGAACCAAAUCUAGUUUGAUUUUGUGCUUCUUUUGAACAAUUUCCUGUCUAUGUUCAUUAUAUGCAUUGUGUAAAUCUUUGCCUUAUUUUUCUGCCGAUUUUGUGUAUUUUUACCUAAUGGGUUGAAUUUUACUGAUUUAAGUACUUGCCUUUAGUAUUUAAAUUAGCUAUUUCUAUGCUCUAAUCUCGGCACUAUUUAAACCCCUCCCCACUCCCCUUUGAAGAGGAGGAGAUUUAAAAAGUUCUAAAGAUCCUUUCACUACUAUAAACAAAAGCUGUAUACUCCUAUUCUCUUGAGUAAUUUUACUCUAUGCUUUGAUUCCUGGCCGGCUGAAAGCCAAGGCCAGAAAUCUCCAAGUCCUGCUUCUGUUUGGUGAUAUUUGCUACACUGUUGGAUUCUUUUCUUCCUUGUUUCAUAUUAACCGGUGAGUUAUUGAAUCUUCUGCCAUUUCAUUAUGAUUACUUGCUCAAUGUGUUACUGCAAUUAGACCAUGUUGUCCUAAAUGCUUUUACUUGUAGUUGAGACAUGUUUGAACUUAGUUUAAGCUGAUUAAUGAAAUCUGACUAAUUUUAUGUUAUUGAGGACUAUCUUUUAGAGUUAAACAUGCUUUCAUACCUCUUUAGCCAUGUAUAGAUGUGUGCCUUACCAAAUUUAUAAUGUUUGUUUGUUGAACUUGUUACGGCCUGUUUAGUUCUGUUCUCACUAUGUUAUGAUACCUCUACUAAAUUGUCUUAAUCAGUUCCUAGUGCUAAUCAAUGUGUUUUCUUUCUAUGACUUAGCCUGAUCUGAAGUCUCUGUUAUCAUUGUGACCAUGUUUAUGAACUGGCCUUAUUAGCAUGUGUCUUUGUUAAUUCUUAAAAGCAUGACUAAGUCUCAUAAGUUCAAGCAUGUCUACCAUUUGUUUGUAUAUGCUCAAUAUGUGACUCUGUCCUAAAGUGGAUUCCCUAAUUCAUUCUACUCCCCUAAUCCUUCUAAAUUCCUACUCUUAGCUGGCUGAAAGCCAAAGCUAUUUAGGUUCUGUCCUCUGACCUCCCUAGUGUGAGCACUGCUCAGGGUUCAUGUGAGACCCUUGUGAACUCUGACACACUAGGACCUAGUCCCUAGUCUUUCUUUGAACUAUUUCUGACCAAUCUCUCUAGUGUGAGCACUGCCCUGGAUUCCUGAAGCCUUUGGGAACUCUGACACACUAGAGAUUUGGGUUUUGUAUACUUAUCCUUGAAAUAUGGGUGAAUCAUUCACUACUGAUUAUUGUGUAUCUAUGAACAUGGGCUUUUGGAACUACUGUGAGUUGAAGGCUGGCCUGUCCAAGUGUAUUUGGACCUGCUGUAGGCUCCCUAUAGUUUUACUUACCUUGUAAUUCAUUCAUUAACUUCUGGUAUGUAAUAAUUAUUUGUAAUAACAAUUCUGGGGUAUUAGUAAAAAUGGGAAAAUGGUUCUUAUUUUAUACUUGCUAUAAGGUGAGGGGG